GGCGUAAAGGGCUCGCAGGCGGUUUCUUAAGUCUGAUGUGAAAGCCCCCGGCUCAACCGGGGAGGGUCAUUGGAAACUGGGAAACUUGAGUGCAGAAGAGGAGAGUGGAAUUCCACGUGUAGCGGUGAAAUGCGUAGAGAUGUGGAGGAACACCAGUGGCGAAGGCGACUCUCUGGUCUGUAACUGACGCUGAGGAGCGAAAGCGUGGGGAGCGAACAGGAUUAGAUACCCUGGUAGUCCACGCCGUAAACGAUGAGUGCUAAGUGUUAGGGGGUUUCCGCCCCUUAGUGCUGCAGCUAACGCAUUAAGCACUCCGCCUGGGGAGUACGGUCGCAAGACUGAAACUCAAAGGAAUUGACGGGGGCCCGCACAAGCGGUGGAGCAUGUGGUUUAAUUCGAAGCAACGCGAAGAACCUUACCAGGUCUUGACAUCCUCUGACAACCCUAGAGAUAGGGCUUUCCCUUCGGGGACAGAGUGACAGGUGGUGCAUGGUUGUCGUCAGCUCGUGUCGUGAGAUGUUGGGUUAAGUCCCGCAACGAGCGCAACCCUUGAUCUUAGUUGCCAGCAUUCAGUUGGGCACUCUAAG
Molecule: ribosomal RNA, 587 nt
Filed under: Bacillus pumilus
Lineage: Bacteria; Bacillati; Bacillota; Bacilli; Caryophanales; Bacillaceae
Description: bacterial SSU rRNA
Rfam family: Bacterial small subunit ribosomal RNA
Source: RNAcentral